This 332-nucleotide ribosomal RNA is filed under the name uncultured eukaryote. RNAcentral describes it as "partial 18S ribosomal RNA". It matches the Rfam family "Eukaryotic small subunit ribosomal RNA", at positions 1470 to 1796 of the family's 1831-position model. The record is from RNAcentral.
CCCUUAGAUGUUCUGGGCUGCACACGUGCUACACUGGCAGGUUCAGCGAGCUUCAUGCCCUGAUCUGAAAGGAAUGGGAAAUCUUUUCAAAACCUGCCGUGCUUGGGAUAGAUGUUUGCAAUUAUUCAUCUUCAACGAGGAUUACCUUGUAAGCGCACGUCAUCAGCGUGCAUUGAAUACGACCCUGUAUUCUGUACACACCGCCCGUCGCUCCUACCGAUUGAAGUUUUCGGUGAGUUGACAGGAGGAUUUUUUUGAAACUGGUUCGCCAGUGGAUUUUAGAUCCAAAUGCCAACGAAUCGAUGGCUUUAGAGGAAGGAGAAGUCGUAACA